Molecule: ribosomal RNA, 1392 nt
Filed under: Enterobacter sp. NJUST20
Lineage: Bacteria; Pseudomonadati; Pseudomonadota; Gammaproteobacteria; Enterobacterales; Enterobacteriaceae
Description: bacterial SSU rRNA
Rfam family: Bacterial small subunit ribosomal RNA
Source: RNAcentral
UCGAGCGGUAGCACAGAGAGCUUGCUCUCGGGUGACGAGCGGCGGACGGGUGAGUAAUGUCUGGGAAACUGCCUGAUGGAGGGGGAUAACUACUGGAAACGGUAGCUAAUACCGCAUAACGUCGCAAGACCAAAGUGGGGGACCUUCGGGCCUCAUGCCAUCAGAUGUGCCCAGAUGGGAUUAGCUAGUAGGUGGGGUAAUGGCUCACCUAGGCGACGAUCCCUAGCUGGUCUGAGAGGAUGACCAGCCACACUGGAACUGAGACACGGUCCAGACUCCUACGGGAGGCAGCAGUGGGGAAUAUUGCACAAUGGGCGCAAGCCUGAUGCAGCCAUGCCGCGUGUAUGAAGAAGGCCUUCGGGUUGUAAAGUACUUUCAGCGAGGAGGAAGGCAUUAAGGUUAAUAACCUUGGUGAUUGACGUUACUCGCAGAAGAAGCACCGGCUAACUCCGUGCCAGCAGCCGCGGUAAUACGGAGGGUGCAAGCGUUAAUCGGAAUUACUGGGCGUAAAGCGCACGCAGGCGGUCUGUCAAGUCGGAUGUGAAAUCCCCGGGCUCAACCUGGGAACUGCAUUCGAAACUGGCAGGCUAGAGUCUUGUAGAGGGGGGUAGAAUUCCAGGUGUAGCGGUGAAAUGCGUAGAGAUCUGGAGGAAUACCGGUGGCGAAGGCGGCCCCCUGGACAAAGACUGACGCUCAGGUGCGAAAGCGUGGGGAGCAAACAGGAUUAGAUACCCUGGUAGUCCACGCCGUAAACGAUGUCGACUUGGAGGUUGUGCCCUUGAGGCGUGGCUUCCGGAGCUAACGCGUUAAGUCGACCGCCUGGGGAGUACGGCCGCAAGGUUAAAACUCAAAUGAAUUGACGGGGGCCCGCACAAGCGGUGGAGCAUGUGGUUUAAUUCGAUGCAACGCGAAGAACCUUACCUACUCUUGACAUCCAGAGAACUUAGCAGAGAUGCUUUGGUGCCUUCGGGAACUCUGAGACAGGUGCUGCAUGGCUGUCGUCAGCUCGUGUUGUGAAAUGUUGGGUUAAGUCCCGCAACGAGCGCAACCCUUAUCCUUUGUUGCCAGCGGUUAGGCCGGGAACUCAAAGGAGACUGCCAGUGAUAAACUGGAGGAAGGUGGGGAUGACGUCAAGUCAUCAUGGCCCUUACGAGUAGGGCUACACACGUGCUACAAUGGCAUAUACAAAGAGAAGCGACCUCGCGAGAGCAAGCGGACCUCAUAAAGUAUGUCGUAGUCCGGAUUGGAGUCUGCAACUCGACUCCAUGAAGUCGGAAUCGCUAGUAAUCGUAGAUCAGAAUGCUACGGUGAAUACGUUCCCGGGCCUUGUACACACCGCCCGUCACACCAUGGGAGUGGGUUGCAAAAGAAGUAGGUAGCUUAACCUUCGGG